GUCCACAUAGCUUACACCCAAAGCAUGGCACUGAAGCUGCCAAGACGGCACAGACAUGCCUGCGGACA
This 68-nucleotide transfer RNA is filed under the name Asarcornis scutulata. RNAcentral's name for it is "tRNA-Phe". The record is from RNAcentral. Lineage: Eukaryota; Metazoa; Chordata; Aves; Anseriformes; Anatidae.